UAUCUCCCUAAAUCGUUGAUUUCCUUUUGUCUCCGUUAUCGUCCGUCCGGUAUUGGGCUGUUAGGCGGGGUCAAUGGGGACACACGUCUGUUGUGCUUCGUUUGCGUCAAUGCUUCUUCCGAUUAACGCUAUCUAUCUUCCCAAGAAGAACAACGCCUUAUUUUAAUCAAUACCAGUUUCUCUCAAAUUCAUCUUUCGUCUCUUUCAUCCCACUUGUGAAAGGAGAGAAGCAUCAAUCGCAUCAGCUUUGUCUCCGAACCUUAAAUUCCAGCUUUUCUGAUUAAGUUUCUUUCUAGGAAAAUGUGGCGAAGACUUCAUUGACGUUUUUUGGAUGGUAGAAGACUUUCAAGAAACAUUCAAUCGUCUAAAAUGAUUAAAAGAGAGAUCUCUAUAAUGAAGAUGAUGAGGCAUCCUAAUAUUUUCAGACUCCAUGAGGAAAGUGAAUGUGAAGAUGAUGAAAUUGUGAUGACAAUGAUGAAGAAAAUGAUCAUGAACAAGAAGCAGAGGCAGAAAUGGAGGUGGUGUAUUAAAAGCCUGAAGAACUUUUGCCUUCAAAGGACACUGAUAGACAACUGUCAAAGAAGGGUUUCCCGAAUAUCGAGAUGGAUGUGCACACGUUCUUGGUCAACAGAUUAAGAGUCAUCCAUUACUUGAAUUCAUUAGAAAGAUAGAAUGGCUUUAAGAAGUGCUUUUAUUUUAUAUGGAUCGGUUGGUGGGCCGUCAAAAACAGUUGUUCUUCUUGCAUAUGAGUGUCCUCAAGAGAUCGAUGAUUCUGAGAUCUUGGUGAGGUCUGGUUUUAUUGUAUUUAAAGCCACGUUCUUCAACUUUCUCUCUGCAUUGGUGGCACUAGCAGGAACUGCUUUGGUUCAUUUUCACAGAAUGCUUCAAUGGAACUCAUCCAUUUGCAUCUUGCUCCUAUUGAUUCUAGACUUGCAAAUGUGUUGCUGCAGAUCAAGUCUAAACUAAAUGUACACAGUUAGAUGAGUGAUAAUGUUUUUUAAAUUGGAUAGUACUUCUUUAUGUCACCUAAAUUGCUUUCAUAGAAAAAAAAAAAAAAUAGAUAACAUAUCUUAAAUAACGAAGGCUUCCAACCCCUGCUGCAACACGGGGGAACAUUCUCUAGUUAAAUUUAUAUUUACUACAUUUUCAUAUAUUUCUAUGAAUAUUAUAAUAUGAAUAUUGGAUUUUGUUGAAUAUUAUUAUUGUACUAAAUUUGCACCCGAA
Non-coding RNA from Lactuca sativa (garden lettuce), 1224 nucleotides. Lineage: Eukaryota; Viridiplantae; Streptophyta; Magnoliopsida; Asterales; Asteraceae. The record is from RefSeq and is a predicted model, not a curated record.